UACGGAGGGAGCGAGCGUUGUUCGGAAUCACUGGGCGUAAAGCGUACGUAGGCGGUCUUGCAAGUCAGGAGUGAAAGCCCAGGGCUUAACCUUGGAAUUGCUUUUGAAACUGCAAGACUAGAGUCCCGGAGAGGUUGGCGGAAUUCCGAGUGUAGAGGUGAAAUUCGCAGAUAUUCGGAGGAACACCAGUGGCGAAAGCGGCCAACGGGACGGGUACUGACGCUGAGGUACGAAAGCGUGGGGAGCAAACAGG
This 253-nucleotide ribosomal RNA is filed under the name uncultured bacterium. Its description in RNAcentral is "partial 16S ribosomal RNA". It matches the Rfam family "Bacterial small subunit ribosomal RNA", at positions 524 to 776 of the family's 1533-position model. The record is from RNAcentral.